Molecule: long non-coding RNA, 2100 nt
Organism: Struthio camelus australis
Lineage: Eukaryota; Metazoa; Chordata; Aves; Struthioniformes; Struthionidae
Source: RefSeq, a predicted model, not a curated record
GUAAGGAGAUAUAUGGAUUUUAUGUACUAAGAAACUAGUGAAAAGGAUCCCGCUGGCAAAGCAGUUUGAGCUCUGCCUGUGAAGGGUGAGGUUAUGUCCGGGGUUGACUUGAGGCAGCGAUGGCCGAAAGAAGGGCGAGGGGAGCUCAAACCGAGGGACUUCAUGUAGGAAAAGAUGCUGAGGGAGAAAGUGGGCCGUGCCCCAGCGAGAAGUAAUCGAUGUGCUGGACGUCUUUGUGAAGAACAAAAGUGGUUUAAAAACGUCAGGCUCGUCCGCUCACCCUCCCUGUCGGAGAAACUUACUACCCCGGGAGAUUGACCGGCAUCCUCCUUAAAGAUCAGCAAAAAGGAUUUUCAGCAGCAGCUUUAUCACAGGUGACAUUAGACUUGAAUUACAGGGAAGAACAAAAACAACGUAUGUUCUUCUGUCGUGCCCUCGUCAUCCUAUGUGCCUGAGGGACUCUAGCUCAGCUUGUAACAUCACCUUAAAAAGGCUGGAUGCGAGGAGUUAAGAUUUAUGGUAUGGCAGCGCCAAUAAAGUGCUCAUACAUAGAGGAAAUUACACAACAAGAAACGUAUCCCUGCGCCGGUGAAGUGCGCAUAAUGUAGACAAUGCGUUGUAAGAAACAGGCAAUGGACGUGAGCUCCUGAGCUUGCUUUCUGUUUCCAAGUAUCUACAUCUAUAUCAAGAGCUCAUUGCACGUGAAACCUGUUAUCAUGCAAAUGCGCUGAGCAGUUUGUAAAGGCAGCAACAUCCUGGUUUCCCUGGUCACGCUGAGUGGAUUUAUCCGCCGUUGUAAUGAGAAUGAAUGCUCUUUGUCAGAGACAGUAUGUGGAGAGAAGAUUUGGGAACUCCAAGCAGAAGCUGUGAUGAGAAAUGACUGUUGUGCUCAACUAUGACAAGAAGAAGCUUGCAAGUGCUCCCACGUCUUGGUGCGAGGCGUCUGCUGUGCAUGGAGAUGGUGUCUCUGCCAGCCCACUCGCCUGCAGCUGCUGUUUGGUGUUCCUGAGGGUCUUCUGAGGUGAUCAUGCUGCUCAGCGGCUUCCUCUGCUGUAUCCCCGAUAUUGCCGAGGCUGUUGCCCUUUUGGGUAGGUGUCAAGCUAGAGUGUCUGCUGGUCACUGAUUCUCAGUGAUGGCAAAUCCUGUUCCUCAAAGACCUUCUUCCACUGAGCUUUGUGGCUUUCUAGGUAAAUGUUGCAGUGAUUAUGAGUUGCAGUGGAGUAAAGUGUAGUUAGAAGCAUUCUCUCAAAAUUUCAUUUUAAAUGAUGUCCUGUUGCUUUGGACUAACUCCUAGUUAAACUGGAACAAUCUUCUUUAUUUCUAAUUGCAGGAUCUUUUUUUGUUCUCCUCUGGAGUUAAUCUUCAAGAAUAUACAUGUCACUGUUCACGAAUCUCUUAUUUUGGUCCACUUCGUUUCUGUUUACAGCAAUACCAGAGACCCCAGUCAAGGUCUUCUGGAGCUAUGUUGAACAAAUACAGGGGAGUGUAUGAUCCCUGCCCCACUUUGGAAUAAUACACGUCAAACACUGAAGGUUUCUGCUCACUUGAAACAAAGUUAAAAUACCAUUUGCACCUAUUUACUAGACCUUCCAGAAAAUGCAGGAAAGAAACAGGCCUGAAAUAAAUUUGAAACAAUUAAGUCCAAACCAAACAAGUUCUAAACUACCAGCAAGUGAAAACAAAAGAGAUCUUUACAGUGAAAGAUGAUGCCCUCUUGGUGUCUCCAUUUGCAAGUCACUUCUGUUCUAAGUUUGAUUCAUGAGGCACAGCCAAGCUCGGCAGCUCAGGACGGGCACAACAGGAAUUUGCCGCGAGCAUCUGUCUGAAGAUGAUGUCAUUCCCCUCACUGGUGUAGGGGAAAGGACAAACUUGCGUGAAAGGUGAGGUGAGGAUGGCACACCCCAUUUCAGGCGCAUUCAAAAUGAAAACUGUCAUGACAUCAAUUAACACAAAUUUCCUGUAAUUAAAAGUUGUACUUUACUGUAUGCCUAAAGGCUCCAAAACAGCAAAGUGUUCAAGGUCAUUUCUGUGGUUAAACACUGCAGAUGGUAAACUCAACACAAAGGUUAUCUUUAAUAAAGAACCAGUCUGUACAUCUUA